GUUUGUGCAUGAUCCAUAGCAUUCAUGCGGGUACAGAUUAUAUUAUGUUGCUUGUUCAUUGAUGCCUACACUGAUUUUGCUGCCUCCAAAUUCCAACGUAAAAUCCAAUUGGGCUUUUUUCAUCAGAGCUAUAUCGAAGCAUGCCUUUUGUUAAUGACCUCAAUUUUUAAAAGUUGACAAUUUUUUACUUAUGUUCUUCCUAUUUAUCCCAUGGUUUUUGAGAUUGCAAGG
This 231-nucleotide unclassified non-coding RNA is filed under the name Hevea brasiliensis (rubber tree). The record is from RNAcentral. Lineage: Eukaryota; Viridiplantae; Streptophyta; Magnoliopsida; Malpighiales; Euphorbiaceae.